Molecule: transfer RNA, 71 nt
Filed under: Marmota monax (woodchuck)
Lineage: Eukaryota; Metazoa; Chordata; Mammalia; Rodentia; Sciuridae
Rfam family: tRNA
About the family: Transfer RNA (tRNA) molecules are approximately 80 nucleotides in length. Their secondary structure includes four short double-helical elements and three loops (D, anti-codon, and T loops).
Source: Rfam by way of RNAcentral
GUGGGGCUGGCUCAGCGGCAGAGCGCUCACCUGGCACGUGUGAGGCCCUGGGUUCGAGCCCCAGCACCACA